GUAGGGUUGAAAUCCAAGGUCACUGUGAUGAACAAUGUGCCUGGGACCAAGAGUAUAAGAGGAUUAGUCUUAAAGACCUUAGAGCAGAGAAGAGUCGGGCUGCUGUGAGAGUCGAAGAGAGGGAGUGUGGGAGAAUAGCCAGGAUCACACAGAUUUCGAACAAGAGAUAUGCUUCAUUUUUCUUGGAGAAACCAUAUGCAGGGUUGCUAUGGAAAUGGGAAGCAGCACCUCUCAGAGCCAAUGUAGCCAUUGACCUCCUGUUAAGCAAUUACCUCAGCAACAACCUUGUUUCUAAAUAAAGUCAAACUCUGAGGACCUAAGAAGUGCAAGAACUCUUGUGGAUAUUGUGGGGAUACCAAUAUUUUGGUUACAUGUUAUGACUUUACCACACCGAAGCCAUGAUUUGGGGCAUGCAGUUGGCUCACUACAACUCUCCCUGUGUUCAUUAGUUGUACUGCAUUAUGGAAGAUUUAGAAAGAGAUUUAUUGAAAUUUAAAGGAUUUUAUUUUCAGCAUAAAGCAUUUGAUACUGGCUUUUUAGAAAAUUUAGAUGAUUUUGAAAUUAGAGAUGAUGAUGUCUUCAUAGUCACAUACCCCAAAUCUGGUAAGUUCAGUAUUCCAAUAGCUAAUCUAAGAUAUAAAAUAGAAAUACUUCUAUAAUAUGAGAAGUUAGUUUUUUCACUAGCAUUACAUAUGGCCAGAUAGCGUUAAUCCUUUGGACAUACAAAACUCAUUAUUCAAUAUCUGUGAAAUAAGGUUUUUUACCAUGACGAAGAAGUUAUUUCGGAUUUGGCAUUGGAAUGAGAGAAAUUUUAAAAGUGUUAGACUUAAGAUAACAUCAAACACUGAAUGCUGAGGUGGGAUGAGAAAGAAUAUUUAGCAUUUAGUCAGGUAGUGGGAUAUAUUGAAGAGCAUAAGAAGGAGAAUGUUAACAUACUAAGUAUUAUAUUACAGAAUAAUUCCUAAUCAUUUUUAAUUAUCUCCAGGUCAUAGAAUUGUGUGUUUCAUUAAAGCAGUGUACUAAAUAGGAAUUCAGUGAGGGAAACUCUAAAGGGUUGUCUCUCUCCUUGCCAUUGCCUGCUGUAUUUUUACUUCCUGCCAAAGCAUAUGCUACAGGGCCUGGUGCCUCCAUGCUUUCCUUGAGCCUGCUUUUCCUGCUGGUGACCCAACAUGACUAAAGCCUGAUUUCAAUUCCAUUUUCUACUCUCUUUAGCGUCUCUCAGGUGGCCCAGUUUUAUGUCAUGUGUUGUACUCUGCAGAGACAUUCUGUCUGCACUAACCCCUGCCUCUCGAUGAGUAUGACAGCUCACCACAGUAGUCCAAUUCCAAUGCCGUAGCUUCCUGGUCACUUUGAAAGAGGUGCUCAAAUGGUGACACCUUCAACUUUUUAACAAUAAGGUAUCUGAACCAUAGAAACCUAUCACCAUUUACAUGAUCACAUAUAUUGCAAAUAGUCUUUGCAUAUGCAAAACAAUAAUUCUUAACAAAAAAGAGUCAUGUGCUUUGAGAGGCAUUUAAGUGUUCAAAUAAAUGAACAGGGCAUAUUUCUAUAUUAUAAGAUUUUACAGCAAUAGAAUACAAGAUGUGAGUACUUAAAAAUAUUUAUGAUGCUUUAGCUGACUUUGAUCCAACACAGCUGCUCUAGGGAAUCUCUAAAAGCAUGUUGCUGCCUCAGGCACUUAGCACACCCUGUUACUCUUCCGGAAAAGCUCUUCCCUUAGACAUCUGUAUGGAUUAUUUCCUCCUCUCCUUUGCUUCCUUAUUUUAAUAUUACUGUAUCAGUGAAACCAUUCUGAAUGGCCAUAACUAAAAAUGCGGCCUCACCAGAAAAGUAUUCCAAUGUAUUUGCUGAUUAAUUUUCCCUUCACAAAAUAAUAUUCAUGGCCUUAUCAUGUAUGACAUAUUUUGUACAUUUAAUCUUUACAUUAUGUACAAAGCUAGGAAAACCAGAAGGCAUUUAUAGAAGAAUAUAUGCAUCUUAUCAUAUAUAUAAAUAUAUUAUUUGUAUCUAAUAGGACUCUAUAUCAUAUAUGUUAUAUAUAUUAGCAAUAUAUACGUAUGGGACUUGGUUCACAUAAUUAUGAAGUAUAAGAAUAUGUCCUUAGGAAGCAGGAGACCCAGGAGAGUCGGUGUUGUAAUUCAGACUAAGUCUAAGGGCCUCAGAGCCAGGGAAACAACGGUGUAACUCCCAGGAUGAGGACAAAGCCCUGGGAAUCAGGGGGUUUACUGAUGCAAGUCUCAGGGUUCAGAAGCCCAAAAACAUGGAGCUCCAAUGUCCAAGGGUCAGAGAAGCUGAUGUCCCAGGUCAGGGAGAGAAAGAAUUAGCCCUCCCUCCAUUUUUCUGUUCUAUUUGGUGUCUCAAUGGAUUGCAGGAUUCCUGGCUGCAUUGGUGAGGGAGGUUGUUUGUAUCCUACUCAUUCAAACCCUAAUCUGUUCCUGAAACACCCACACUGAGACAUCCAGACGUAAUGUUUUACAGGCAAUCUAAGCAUCUGUUAGCACACUCAAGUUACAUAUAAUAUUAACCAUCACAUAGACUAACAAGAAUUAGAAAGGUCAAUAUGUCAAGUGUGGAGAGGUGGGAAUCAGGGGGUUUACUGAUGCAAGUCCCAGGGUUCAAAAGCCCAAAAACAUGGAGCUCCAAUGUCCAAGGGUCAGAGAAGCUGAUGUCCCAGGUCAGAAAGAGAAAGAAUUAGCCCUCCUUCCAUUUUUCUGUUCUAUUUGGUGUCUCAAUGGAUUGCAGGAUUCCUGGCUGCAUUGGUGAGGGAGGUUGUUUGUAUCCUACUCAUUCAAACCCUAAUCUGUUCCUGAAACACCCACACUGAGACAUCCAGACGUAAUGUUUUACAGGCAAUCUAAGCAUCUGUUAGCACACUCAAGUUACAUAUAAUAUUAACCAUCACAUAGACUAACAAGAAUUAGAAAGGUCAAUAUGUCAAGUGUGGAGAGGGAGUGGAUUAAGAUCUACAUGCAUUGGCGUAUUACCCAUGGGAGAGGAGACUGAAGCAGCCAUUUUCUGAAGAUCAAUCUGUCAUUACCUGAACAUAUUACGUACGGACACACUAAGUGUCACAGAAAAAAUAUGAAGAUUCAUAACUUUGGAGAGGAGAACUUUAUUUUUUGUGGAGAGUCAGAAGCUCCAGGGAGGAAGCUCAGCCUCUGGUUGAAAUCAGAAAACAAGCACUUUGAAGGAGGGAAGCAUGAGACAGAACUUAUGCUGAACAGAGUGGACAAGAAUACCUGUUCAAUAGAUUUUAGAGGCAGUUAUGAAUAUUCUCCAAGGGGAGAUGCACACAUGUACAAUAAGCAAACAUGCAUGUCACAUACAUUUCAUGUUCACUUUGGGGCUGGAUACAACAUUUAACUGCAUUCCAGUUAGGCCCUAUGCAUUGAAAGGUAAAGCAAGGACACAAAGGCACUCAGUAAUCAGCCUCUAUAAACUGGCCAGAACUGCUCCAUGGGGGUGGUCUCUAGUCAGGAGAAAGUUACUGAAAUCAGUAUCUUGUCCAAUCAAAGGUACAGUUGUGGCAUGUGGAAUAGUGGUUCAGUUAGUCAGCAUAUGGCAGUCAGUGAGCAACAGUUCUGUCAGUAUUGCUUAUCACCAGGCCAGUGUGUGUUUAGCUGCUAGAAAAAAGAAACACCUUGUGGCACCUCAAACCUAGUUCAUACUUUAAAUGUAGGGGUGCAUGAUGGAACCCUUGCCUGGAAUGGCCUUUGGUCUAGUUUAUAAUUUGGUAUCUUUUUACAAGAAAAGAUCCAUUCCAUCAGCCUUAUGAUGUCAUUUUCAACACAAACAAUUGCUCUCCUGAAUAGUUAUCCUAGAGAAUUUCUUAAACAGGUCAAUGCAAAGGAACAAAAUGAGGAUGUGCAUUGCUAAGCUGCUUCAGCUGUGAAGUCCCUGACUGAGAAGGUGGAUAGGUAAAACCCAGGGGUGCGCGAUAUGAAGUAGGAGGCAGCAGCUGAUAGGGGCAGUAGAUCAGAGGUGGCGCAUAAUGGGCCUUAAAAUCAUAGAGAUCAGUGAAAAAAACAUAAGAAAUAAGAUGAUCCAAUUAAGUUGAAAAUUUAAGAACUCACAACAAUACACAUUUCAAAAGAAUCCACGCAAGCAAACAGAUGCACUUUAAAACCAAUUGACUGGUUGCAAGGUAGGCAUAGAUGUAGCAUUUGAGGUAGGAAAUGGGGAAAAAGGAGAUACAAGCAGAUAAAUGAGGGACUGAAAUGAAUCAGUGAUGUUAAUAUGUCAGGAAGUGCAGGGAAAGAUAACGAUCUCUUUACUCAACAUUUGAAAUCCUAACAGGGUAAAAACAAAAAAAUGUAGAAAAAGAGGGAGGGAGAGGGGGAAGGGAAGUGGAAACAGAAGAGGAAGGAGCAGGAGAGGAGGGAGAAGAAAUGCAGCUUCUUUUGCAUGGGGAACACACUCUUCCAGUUCUCCUGGUCUUCAAUAUCUACAGACCUAUGGCCACCUCUAGACACCAUUGACAACCCCUACCCUACUUGUGCUGGUGGCCUUGAAGCUGUGAUAUGUGCUCUAGAAGCAGUAUGUGUUACCUGGGAAAUAAGGAAGGAUGUAAGAAACUCUGCAGAGUUUCAUAUCAAUGAAUUUUCACUGGAAGAUCUGGUCCAGCUAUGACAGCAAGUAGGCACAUGUGGUCACAGUCUUCCCUGGCAACACUGAAGACUACAGCCACCAAUAUUUAGGUAGUAAGAGGAACAGGUAAGGUGCAUCUCACCUGUACCUGCCAUCAAGGGAUGUGUGCUCAACAAUGAUAUUACUCACCAGGGGUGAAUGCAUAGUCUUUAGAAACAAAGGCUAGGAUGGGAAUUGUUAAGAUGCAAUAGGUUUUCUCCUAGCAGAAAUCUGAUAAAUAUCCAACUGGGACUUGUAACAUUUUGGGGGAGUAAAUCAAUACUUUCAACACAUUUUGACUGAAAAUUGCUAUAAAUAUACAAGGAAUGAUUUAAAUCUUAGUCCCAAAUAUUAAGCGUAUAGAAGAGGUAUAAGAAAUCUAAAUGUCCACUCUAAUUGGAAUUAAUCUAAAUGCUUUUCUAAAAUUCCACUUAAAAGUCAAUGGUCAAACUUCGGUUAUUAACUUUUCAUUUCUGUCAACAUAUUGGUGUCAAAAGUCCUUUGUAGGUACUUAAACACUAUUUUCUUAAGCAGCAAUCAUUAGUGAAACAUGGAGAAAGUGGGAAAGUUUCAAGGUUACUUCUUCACUGCAAUUCCUUUUUUCUGUGAGUAUAUUAGCUAAUGCUCUAAAAAUGAGGUUCAGGACAGAACUCUAAAGAUAAGCACAGAAAACAUGGGUUUAGAUGGCAAGGAAAUGUUACGCUUUACAAAAGUAAAUAUUUGGCACUGUGUGGUCACUGUUACAUUGCCAUAGAGAAAUUCUCUGACCUGCCUUGCUUGACUGUGGGUCAUAAGACUCUCAGUUCUAAGGCGGUCCUGCCCACAUUAGGUAGGAAAGAAUGUUACACAGAAGAACAAGAAGAAUCUGGACAGAUUUUGCUGUGUUUCCCUAAUCAUUUUUUAACAUAACAUCAUUAUCUUUUUGCCCAGCCAUACACAGUCUAUACUCUGAUAAACUUAAGCAUAAAAAUGGAUAAUUUCACCUCUACUUUCAUUCUUCAUCCUAAAAGAUCUCAUGCGGUCAUGUUAAAUAAAUUGUUAUGCCUUUUCUCCAGUUAAUCUACAUUUUAGAGUUGAUUUUUUUAACAAAACAGUCAAGGUCCAAGGAGAAAUUUCUGUAUGUGUGAUAUGGCUAGAUGAUAUGAAAGUCAAAAUUGUGUGUAUCUAUAGGGGGGUGGGCUCAUUGUCUGAAAGUAGCAAGAAGAAGGGAAGAAGAAAAAUAUCCACUCUGAGAAUGAAAAUAUCCAUCAAUUGAGAGAGUGAUAAGUGAAGCAUUAAUUUCAGAGGGAAGAGACACAUUUGUUACAGAAAAUUGGAUAAGGACCAGUUUUCCGAAGGGGUUGAAGUUACAGAAUACUUGGUUGAUAAGUGACCAUGGAUUAAAGGGAUUCAGGAGGUGGCAAAGUGUAGAAUAUAAAGUUAAGCUUAGCAAGAGAAUGAAGUUCAGAUUAAAAAUUAAUUGGUCAUUAUUUCUAAGGACAGUAAUAUAGCAUUUCAGGAAUUUGGAGCGAUAGAAUAUAUACUCAGCAAAAUUGUGUCCAGAACUUGGUGGGGGACAAUCGGGGUAGGGUUGAAAUCCAAGGUCACUUGUGAUGAACAAUGUGCCUGGGACCAAGAGUAUAAGAGGAUUAGUCCUAAAGACUUUAAAGCAGAGAAAAGUCGGGCUGCUGUGAGAGUUGAAGACAGGGAGUGUGGGAGAAUAGCCAGGAUCACACAGGUAUGCGACACCUUCUCAGAGCUUGAUGCUGGGUAUAUGUUUGCCUGAAAAAGUUAUUAUUCUAAGAGUGUGCUGAAAUGCCCUCUUGACCCUAGCUGGGAGAAGAUUGGUUUUAUCUCAUUAUGCUGGCUCUAAUAAUUUGAGGAAGACCUGCUAAUGAAUGAUCAAUUAAAAUUCACAACUUUUAAGUGCUGUUAUGUUAACAUAUGAGAGUGAAAAGAUUGAACUCACCAUUUUACUGAAGAAGCUAGAAAAUAGAAAAGGAGAAUGGCAUUAAAUAUGAUAAAAGCUGAAACUAAUAUUUUGAAAACAGAAUAACAAUAGAAUUAACAAUAAGUACAAAUGUUCAUCUCCUUUAUGUUUUUCUGAAAAGAUGAAAGGCCGAAGCUGGCAGGCUAAAUAAAAGGGAAAACACAAGCAAGAAAGAGUAAGCCAUAAGUACUACUGCAUUUAAAUAGGUGAUUAAAUGAAACUACUCUCUUCAAUAUCUGGCUGAUAAAGUGUAAAAUACUGGUGGCAUUAACACUAUUCCUGAGAAAAUACAAAUAAGAAAUAUUGAAUUAAGGAUAGAAAACAAUGAGGAACUUUCAAAAUACUAUGGAGGAUGUUAAAAGGACAUUAUAAAGAGUAUUACUUUCCUAGGGCUACAAAAACUAAGUACCUCAAACUGGAUGCCUAAAACAACAGAAGUUUAUUUUUCUACCAUACUGGAGGCUAGAAUUCUGAAAUCAGUCUUCUAGGGGAGAAUAUUGUCUUUCCUGAAAGUUUUGGUAGCCCAAAGCAGUCCUUAGCUUUAAGCCUCUUCACUGGAAUUUCUCCAACAACUUUACUUAACAUUCUCCCUCUUUGUCAGUCUUCACAUGGGUUCUCUUUUCUGUGUGUGUCUCUGUCUAUAUCUUAUCUCUUCUUGUAAGGACACUAGUUCAUCCUGGGUUAAGGACCUAACCUACUCCACUAUGAACAUGUGCAUGUGCUCACACUCUCUAAACACAUUGUCCCCCUCACCCCUCACCGCUGCAGGACUUGCUAUUCACAGCACAACUUGGACCAAACUCUCAGACCCUUAAAUUUCUUCCACUCUGGAUUAUAUUCUUCCUACUUUGUGCUCAAGGUAGUAGCCUUUCAUAUAAAACUAAUACAAAAUUAGAGUUUUAUGCUAGGAGAGUCAUGUGCAAUUUUAAUAUCUUGCUAAAUAUCAGCUGUUGGAGCAUUAAAGAAGGAAUAAACCUAAUGAACUCAUGUUGGAGGUAAUCCAUGGUGUUGUUAAGAAAACAGUCAGACACUGCAGAUUGUCUGGGCAAGGCAAAAUCUUUACUCCUGAUCAGAAGGGUGAAUAGCAGCAGCCAAAGCACCCAGCCAGCAGUGUGCCCCAAGGAAGUUCUUCACUUUUUUAUCUCUAAUGCACACCUAGGGCUAUGUGUCAUCCCAUCAGUAGGGACUUUGAAUUCACAAUCUUGCUCUUACCUGAUUGGCUAAGGCACAUUGUUGAGGUAAAACAGAGAACAAGAAAGUUAAAAUUGCUAAACAUGCUUAUUUUUGUGUGUGUGUGUAUUGCAAUAAAGUAGAUGAAAGCAAGGUUGUUGUUAUUGUGGAGGUUUUGCUAUGUGCUAAUAAUUAUUUAGAGCUUGAUAUCAGACAGAGUAUUUAUGCCUUUGGCAGAAAAGAUUAGGCCGAGGUCAUCUCCUCCUACAAUUUCCACCUCUCUUGUAUUAGUAUUUUUUACACUUUUCCUCAAAUUAGGUAAGGAGGAGGUGACUUUGGUGUUCUUGUUUUUUUAAUAGUAACAACUUGUUUUCAUAUGAAGGUGGAAAAGGUUGUUUAGUUAAUGCUGUUUCUAUUAAUCUCUGGAUUAGUCUCCUAACACAAGGGAUAAUGCAACAACCCACUAAUAUGAAGACACCAAAUACAAUAAUUAAGGAAGUUAGAACUUAUGUAAUCAACCUCUUUCAUUUUCUUUUUUUUUU
Microcebus murinus (gray mouse lemur) is the source of this 8307-nucleotide non-coding RNA. Lineage: Eukaryota; Metazoa; Chordata; Mammalia; Primates; Cheirogaleidae. The record is from RefSeq and is a predicted model, not a curated record.